CACAGUGCCUGGCAUGCCCAGUACAGUCACAUCAACAACUGACAGACCAUGCUGUCUACAGCAGGAAGGCAAGAAGUGAUCCCAGCCUCCAGAUGGAAAGAUCAAGGCCCAGAGAAGGACCCCCAUACCCUGCUCCCAGCAUCGUCUGCCUCAGCUAAGCCAUGGGGAUUGAGAGAAUGGAGCUAAAGGGCACAGCUCAUAGUCCUGGCUGCCCUAGCCAGACAUCUGCCCCACUGUGGGUGCC
This is a long non-coding RNA of Homo sapiens (human), 244 nucleotides long. RefSeq lists it as uncharacterized. The record is from RefSeq and is a predicted model, not a curated record. The transcript has 3 exons. Lineage: Eukaryota; Metazoa; Chordata; Mammalia; Primates; Hominidae.